RNAcentral lists this ribosomal RNA (707 nucleotides) under uncultured Bacteroidales bacterium. RNAcentral's name for it is "bacterial SSU rRNA". It matches the Rfam family "Bacterial small subunit ribosomal RNA", at positions 47 to 744 of the family's 1533-position model. Lineage: Bacteria; Pseudomonadati; Bacteroidota; Bacteroidia; Bacteroidales. The record is from RNAcentral.
CUUAACACAUGCAAGUCGAGGGGCAGCAUGAACUUAGCUUGCUAAGUUUGAUGGCGACCGGCGCACGGGUGAGUAACACGUAUCCAACCUGCCGAUGACUCGGGGAUAGCCUUUCGAAAGAAAGAUUAAUACCCGAUGGCAUAGUUCUUCCGCAUGGUAGAACUAUUAAAGAAUUUCGGUCAUCGAUGGGGAUGCGUUCCAUUAGGUUGUUGGCGGGGUAACGGCCCACCAAGCCUUCGAUGGAUAGGGGUUCUGAGAGGAAGGUCCCCCACAUUGGAACUGAGACACGGUCCAAACUCCUACGGGAGGCAGCAGUGAGGAAUAUUGGUCAAUGGACGAGAGUCUGAACCAGCCAAGUAGCGUGAAGGAUGACUGCCCUAUGGGUUGUAAACUUCUUUUAUACGGGAAUAAAGUGAGGCACGUGUGCCUUUUUGUAUGUACCGUAUGAAUAAGGAUCGGCUAACUCCGUGCCAGCAGCCGCGGUAAUACGGAGGAUCCGAGCGUUAUCCGGAUUUAUUGGGUUUAAAGGGAGCGUAGGCGGACGCUUAAGUCAGUUGUGAAAGUUUGCGGCUCAACCGUAAAAUUGCAGUUGAUACUGGGUGUCUUGAGUACAGUAGAGGCAGGCGGAAUUCGUGGUGUAGCGGUGAAAUGCUUAGAUAUCACGAAGAACUCCGAUUGCGAAGGCAGCUUGCUGGACUGUAACUGAC